AUAUUUUCUGACAACAAUAAUAUCCAAACUUCAGUUUGGAUUCAGUCUAAAUCUCGGUGGCACAGGUCGAACGCUGUUAUUUGAGGGUCAGCCUGACCACCUCGUUCCAGCCACAUCAGAGGCCCUUAUUGAAAGCAAUCUCUUCCAGGUUGCUGGAAGGAUGUUGGCUCAUUCCUUCUUGCAUGAUGGCCCAUGUGUGACAGGAUUAAGUCCGGCUAUAAUCCAUGUGUUGUUCAAUGGGGACCCAGAAAUUGCAACAAUUGUCACAGAAGACUGUCCCGAUCUACACAUCAGGAGCAUAAUAGAAAUGCUUGAAACUGAAGAACUUACUCAGGAGCAGGAGGACACUGUCUCAAAUCUAUCCAUGUCGUGGGAUCUUCCAGCAGUCACAAAAACAAAUAGGAGAUGG
This is a long non-coding RNA of Astyanax mexicanus (Mexican tetra), 409 nucleotides long. RefSeq lists it as uncharacterized. Lineage: Eukaryota; Metazoa; Chordata; Actinopteri; Characiformes; Acestrorhamphidae. The record is from RefSeq and is a predicted model, not a curated record. The transcript has 3 exons.